This 432-nucleotide ribosomal RNA is filed under the name uncultured bacterium. Its description in RNAcentral is "partial 16S ribosomal RNA". It matches the Rfam family "Bacterial small subunit ribosomal RNA", at positions 29 to 506 of the family's 1533-position model. The record is from RNAcentral.
AGCGAACGCUGGCGGCAGGCCUAACACAUGCAAGUCGAACGAACUCUUCGGAGUUAGUGGCGGACGGGUGAGUAACACGUGGGAACGUGCCUUUUGGUUCGGAAUAACCCAGGGAAACUUGUGCUAAUACCGAAUGUGCCCUUCGGGGGAAAGAUUUAUCGCCAUUAGAGCGGCCCGCGUCUGAUUAGCUAGUUGGUGAGGUAACGGCUCACCAAGGCGACGAUCAGUAGCUGGUCUGAGAGGAUGACCAGCCACACUGGGACUGAGACACGGCCCAGACUCCUACGGGAGGCAGCAGUGGGGAAUCUUGCGCAAUGGGCGAAAGCCUGACGCAGCCAUGCCGCGUGAAUGAUGAAGGUCUUAGGAUUGUAAAAUUCUUUCACCGGGGACGAUAGUGACGGUACCCGGAGAAGAAGCCCCGGCUAACUUCGU